CCUUUAAUCAUCACAACUGCUGAGCUGGAAAAGGAUAGGCAGCCGGAGGUCAGAAAAGGGGGCGGGGCUACACGUACUGUACAGUCAGUGCCAGGCCAGCCAGCAGCAUGGGAGAGAGAAGAGCUCACUAUACAGCAGCAGCACAGCCUAAAUACUCCCGGGUUCCGACCACCGUUGCUCCUUCCAUGGAUAUCGCUGACAGCAGCCUCACUCAGGAAGGAUAGCCUGAGUGAGUAAGAUGGGAAAGCUCCUGUGUCUCACUCCUCCAGCUCCUAGACAGCAGCACAGACCCAUCUGCUUUCUGUGUGGUUCAGUUCACCUCUCCAGCAGCCCCAGUGGACGACCCGACUCAUCCCACAGACACAGGGGGGGUGGACAGGUGGCGGAGGCUUAGUAAGGGGAAAUCGCACGGCACAGAUGACAGAGAUGCUGAUGUAGAGCCGAGAGCUUCCAGUUUGCCUUCCACAGUGGAACGCAAAUUCCGGAAGCAUGGCAGUCGGCACUAGCAGUGUCGGCAGACCCGACAGAGGGACCUGUCCAACUGGAACUUACCUGCUUUUCUGGUGACCCAAUCUGCCCUUGCUGGUGGUCAUGAUAAAGUCGCUUCUAACUGA
Molecule: long non-coding RNA, 614 nt
Organism: Pseudophryne corroboree (corroboree frog)
Lineage: Eukaryota; Metazoa; Chordata; Amphibia; Anura; Myobatrachidae
Exons: 2
Source: RefSeq, a predicted model, not a curated record